Arachis duranensis is the source of this 257-nucleotide long non-coding RNA. RefSeq lists it as uncharacterized. The record is from RefSeq and is a predicted model, not a curated record. Lineage: Eukaryota; Viridiplantae; Streptophyta; Magnoliopsida; Fabales; Fabaceae. The transcript has 3 exons.
CAGAGCCACUACUAGACCCUGUUUUACUGUGCACCCACCCUCUGCCACUGUCGCUACCCCAGCGCCACCACUAGGCCGCCACCGUGUUGCUCUGGCCAUUCACUCAUCAUCAUCAAUCUUUCCCUUUCUUUCCCCUGUUCCAAUUCCCUGCUUCCCAGGGGGCCAAUAUUCUUGUAGAUAAUAAAGGUUGCAUUAAACUUGCAGAUUUUGGGGCCUCCAAACAAGCUAGUAUUAGAAUGGAUUACUUGAACGUGCAC